UCUACCUUCCUCCAAUAUAAAUUAAGCAUUAUGGAAUCAAAACAAUGGAAGCCCUAUUUACUUAUGAAUCUGCAGGGGGAUGGGAAGUCAAUAGGAAGGGAAGAACAGCAGGAAGUCUUCCUGCCUCUUGUAACAGGGUCAAUGAACUUUGGCAGAUAUAAGCAGAAACAGAAAGCCAUUUUGGAAUCCAACACUUGAUGGAUUCAAGGGGGCCAGAGCUCUUGCAAUCACAGACUGUUGGGUCCUUCAGCAAGGAGGGGGUUGAAGACUGAACUGAAUUUAGUCACCUGCUAACCAGAAGAUUACAAGCCAGAGGCUGAAGAGUUUUGGUAUCACAAGCUGACUGUUAAUGUGGGUCAUUUAAGUAAUAGAAAAUGCAAGCCCUGUGCGAAGCACAAUUAUGCCUGGAAUUUCUCCUCCUCUGCAACAGUGAUAAUUUCUUAUUCAAAUCUUCAAACAAGCUUCAGGACCACUGUUACAAUACAAGCCAGCUCUCUCAACAUCAGGGUUCCCAUGCCUGGGGAAACAAAGGUCAGCAUGGUGGGGAAACUGAGGCAAAGAGAUUUGCUCAGUAUUACACAGCAAGUCAGCAGUGAUAUUGGGAACAGAACCCAGGAGCCUUUGUUCCUAGUCAGCUGCUCUAGUCACAAGAUCACGUUCUGUGCACCAUAAGAGCUGCAGCAUGGACAGCAUCAAUUUAAGAAAAUGGGGAAGACUGUGUAGGAAUGUGACUUGACCUGAAGGAUCUACCUCUGAGGAGAAGAGUUUGUUCUCCAGGCCCACUCUAACCUUUACCCUCUGAGACUGGAGAAGGGAAGGAGGGGGGAGAGGGAGAGAAAGGGAGCAGUAUGUAAAAAUUUUCCAAGAACUGCUUAGUUUCACUGGUUACACAUUCCACAUGGUUUCCAAAAGGGUCUGUAGGAAAAAACAGCUGAAUUUGUGUGUUUAUUAUCCCUGCCAUAUCUUUUGCCAUGACUCUUAGAGCCCUUGAUCAUGUUUUGCUGUCUAAUGUAUUGGAGGUGAGCUAAUCCUUUCACUGGGAUUUCCGGACAGCUUCUACCCUACUGAGCCACUGUGCUCUGAGUAAGCUCCUUUCAUUAGUGUAUACAAGAAGGAUUGGUAUUGGUUUUCUGGUCAAAGGAUAAUUCUUGUAGGACAUGCUCAAUCCUGUGAUCUUAAGUAGGGCAUGGAAGCCCAUUUUAUGCCACGGAUAUCAGUCUUAGAGUGUUAGGAAACAUGCUUAAAACUGUAAUGAAAUACAUAUUUUGAUUCAGAGCCACUUUCUGCUUUCAGUAACAGACUUCACUGGGGUCAUACUAGCAUAAUUGAAGGCAUAACUUCGCUCUCUAUGUCUGCUUUUGUGGCAACAAGUAUGCUACACCUCUACCCAGAUAUAACGCGACCCGAUAGAACACAAAUUCGGAUAGAACGUGGUAAAGCAGUGCUCCGGGGGGGCGGGGCUACGCAAUCUGGCAGAUCAAAGCAAGUUCGAUAUAACCGCGUUAUAGGUGAAACUGCGUAAGAUUUUUUGGCUACCAAGGACAGCGUUAUAUCGGAGUAGAGGUGUACUAGGAUGUAGGUUCCAUCAGAAGUUCUGUCCGGCAUUGCAGGAAUAGUUUUUUUUUACUUGGGUGCACCAAAGUGAUUUUCAGAAAAUUGUGUAUUAAAAACACUAGGUCACAGUGUGACGUUGCAGUCUAGCAUAUUUUUAUAAAUCCAUAUAAUGAGUGAAUAUAAUGUAACUGGAAUAUGCUUCAUGCAAAAGGUCUCUUGUAAGGUAUC
Molecule: non-coding RNA, 1782 nt
Organism: Chrysemys picta bellii (western painted turtle)
Lineage: Eukaryota; Metazoa; Chordata; Testudines; Emydidae
Source: RefSeq, a predicted model, not a curated record